Long non-coding RNA from Brassica rapa (field mustard), 2470 nucleotides. RefSeq lists it as uncharacterized. Lineage: Eukaryota; Viridiplantae; Streptophyta; Magnoliopsida; Brassicales; Brassicaceae. The record is from RefSeq and is a predicted model, not a curated record.
GUUGAAGCUGUUUCUAGUUAGAAACCAAAGAGUAAACAGCAAAGCAGACAGGAAACAAGAAAAAGAAACGAAAGUUCAGGCUCCCACUGCCAUUGCUGGGGAGAGAGAAGUAAAAACGCACAGGAGAUUAGCGUGAACAGCAAGAAAUGCAGAGCCAGAGAUGUUAAUAAAGAGAGAGAGAGAGUUGAAGAAAGAUGGAGAGUGAGAGAGAGAGAGAGAGAAACUACGAAGACCACGACAAAUCUGUCAGAGUGAGAGAGAGAGAGUAUAUAUCACUUAGCAGCAUUUGAUCAAACAUUAACCAUGAUACUAAUGUCACCGUUAGCCACUCUACUUCGGAUUAUUAGUACAUGAUCACAUUCAUUAGUUAACGGAGGAGUAACGGCGUUAGGAAUAUUGAAAGGUUUGAUUUUGACGGGGACAUGACCCGCCGUCUGUUGUAGACGCCGUUUUCCAAUGCUGGGGACGAGUGCGAUUUUACAAUGCGUGUCUGAUCGUACGGUGGAUAAUUCGUGUACACGGUUAAUAGCGUGGGUCGGGAUGUGGAGAAACUAGACAAUGCCUUUUCUUGUGAAAGUUAGUUAAUGCUUUGAUAGUGAUUGGGAAACACCGGUUGGACCGGUUUAGGGUUCUGUGGUUAUCCUUUUUAUCGACCGUUCGUUUUUUUAAGUGAUUAGAAAACAUACCUCAUGUUGUUAUAUUGAUGUGAUUUUUUCACUCUUGUAUAGAGACCAUGCCACAUGUUGGUUUUUUAUGGAUUGUUUUCACAAUUAAAGUUGCAUGAUGAAGCGAAAAAAUAGGUGAAGUUGUACCUUGUGAUAAAUACGAAAUAAAAUAAACCUUAUCCCAUAAGUCCAAAAGUAAAAUAAUCUAUGAUUAGUGUUGUAUCUAAUUGAAAUGUUUUUGAGAAAAUAGUUUGGUAUAAGGAUUUUUCUGCACUGGUUUGGAUCUUUAGGCUACAGUCCUUUUACGUGUACAGUCGUACUACACAGUCUUAACCUCCCUAUCGGUCAAACGUUUGAAUCUUUUUGUAUAUUUUGAAUAUUUAGGAAGACUAUACAGUUCCAUUAAGCUGUUAAUUUAAUUUUCAGUUAAGUUCUUAUUUACACAAUGAUUGUGAUGUUGUUAGUUGUGACUUGUGAGGAUUAGUUGCAUGUAUUUAUUUGUUAUUGUGUUCACCGUAAAGUAAGAACUAAAUAAUCAUCUUUGUAUUUAAUGUUGGAGAAAAAUUUGUAUCGACGACGCCAAUAAAUAAUAAAUGAAAACAAAAGGUGCUUAAAUAGGUUCAGCUACAAGCGUCUGUAGGCUCUAAAGGUGCAUGGGUUCACAGCUAUGGCCUAUGCGAGAAGACCACACUGCUUUUAGUGUAAAUAGAAUUUUUCUAACUUGUAUUUAUUUCAUCUAUUAAUUUAUCGGUUGUGCAAAUAGUAAUUUAUGAUACAAGAUGUAAGAGAAAACGAGUUUAUAUUUUCAUAAAAGCUCGCAGGCUUCCACUUCCUAUACUAAUGUGACAUACCUCUAUAACGUGGGCAUAUAUUAUUGAAGUUAUAAAACAAUAAACAUUUAUGUUUUACUUUUAUAAAAGAGGUAAUUGACAACAACAACAACAAAAACGUUAAAAACAAAUGAGGUAAAUUUGGUUCACGUUCCACUUCAUGAAAAGUACACUUUUAAUUUAUUUUAAACUGGUAAAUCAGAGGAUAGAAUUACCCCAAAAUACAUUUUCAUUUAAACAAAAUAAAUACGCAAGAGAAUUAAUGAUGCUUAUAUUAAAUGUUGUUAUGAGCUGUUUUAAGACCUCCCAUUUGGCCAUUCUAAAGGGGCAAUGAAAAUUGGAACAGGUUAAUUGAAAGACAAAUGCUCAUGUCCAUUUGAUUGUAAAGAGUGUGAUAUCUAAAUUUUUUUGCUUAAUCAUAUGUAGCGCGUGGUUUCCCUUGUGGUUCUCUUUUUUAUCUUGUUAAGGAGUCUCACUUCUACCUCGCUAUCUUCUGUUUUGGUCUGCAAUUGAGGUUAAUUCUUUUGUUUCACUGGUGUGUAUUGGUUUGUUUGGAUCCCAUAUAUGAAUGACAAAAUGAUUCUUAGUGUUAAAAUAGAUAUAUAAAAAAUAUUGUUUAUAGUGUUAGAGAUUUAUCCUGAGGUCGUUAAAAAAAAAAGAUAUCCUGAGGGAGAAGAGUUAGUGGAUAAGUGGCAAGGUUGACACGCCAAGACAUGUAUGCUUCAUUAGUUAAAAGCUGAGACAAAAGCUGAGACGAUGGUUGUAUCAGUAAGUAGUAACUGAUUUGGGACUGGCUUGCAUCAUCCCUAGGGGAACUAACGGUGGGCAAUGCACCAUCUUAUCCCAGCCGUUGAAACUAGUUCUAAAAGCAUUAUUUGCUAGAGGUUUCCCAAUCUAGGUUUCUGUUUAGUUUACUACUUUUGUAAAAAUAAUUGAGCCGUAUUAAUAUCGUUAUGAAUUUAGGUUUAGUUUUUU